UGGGGAAUAUUGCACAAUUGGCGCAAGCCUGAUGCAGCCAUGCCGCGUGUAUGAAGAAGGCCUUCGGGUUGUAAAGUACUUUCAGUCGGGAGGAAGGUGGUAAGGUUAAUAACCUUGGCAAUUGACGUUACCGACAGAAGAAGCACCGGCUAACUCCGUGCCAGCAGCCGCGGUAAUACGGAGGGUGCAAGCGUUAAUCGGAAUUACUGGGCGUAAAGCGCACGCAGGCGGUUGAUUGAGUCAGAUGUGAAAUCCCCGGGCUUAACCCGGGAAUUGCAUCUGAUACUGGUCAGCUAGAGUCUUGUAGAGGGGGGUAGAAUUCCAUGUGUAGCGGUGAAAUGCGUAGAGAUGUGGAGGAAUACCGGUGGCGAAGGCGGCCCCCUGGACAAAGACUGACGCUCAGGUGCGAAAGCGUGGGGAGCAAACAGG
Molecule: ribosomal RNA, 429 nt
Filed under: Chloroflexota bacterium
Lineage: Bacteria; Bacillati; Chloroflexota
Description: Chloroflexi bacterium partial 16S ribosomal RNA
Rfam family: Bacterial small subunit ribosomal RNA
Source: RNAcentral